This 433-nucleotide ribosomal RNA is filed under the name uncultured bacterium. RNAcentral describes it as "partial 16S ribosomal RNA". It matches the Rfam family "Bacterial small subunit ribosomal RNA", at positions 29 to 506 of the family's 1533-position model. The record is from RNAcentral.
AGCGAACGCUGGCGGCAGGCCUAACACAUGCAAGUCGAACGAACCUUUCGGGGUUAGUGGCGGACGGGUGAGUAACACGUGGGAACGUGCCUUUAGGUUCGGAAUAACUCAGGGAAACUUGUGCUAAUACCGAAUGUGCCCUUCGGGGGAAAGAUUUAUCGCCUUUAGAGCGGCCCGCGUCUGAUUAGCUAGUUGGUUGAGGUAAUGGCUCACCAAGGCGACGAUCAGUAGCUGGUCUGAGAGGAUGAUCAGCCACAUUGGGACUGAGACACGGCCCAAACUCCUACGGGAGGCAGCAGUGGGGAAUCUUGCGCAAUGGGCGAAAGCCGGACGCAGCCAUGCCGCGGGAAUGAUGAAGGUCUUAGGAUUGUAAAAUUCUUUCACCGGGGACGAUAAUGACGGUACCCGGAGAAGAAGCCCCGGCUAACCUCGG